This 659-nucleotide long non-coding RNA is filed under the name Marmota monax (woodchuck). The record is from RNAcentral. Lineage: Eukaryota; Metazoa; Chordata; Mammalia; Rodentia; Sciuridae.
GAUCAUAAUCUGCAGGCUGACAGAGGAAUGAAAAUGUGAAGGUUGUGAAGUAGAAACAUUUCAGCCCUAAAGAACAAGGUUCUUCUGUGAACAAGGUCAGGAUUGACAUCACCAUGCAAAUUUAUUGGACUUUCCAAAGAGAAUGAUGAGUAUUUUUUUCCUGAGUUUAACAUUUAUUCAUCCAUUUUUUUUUUUACUUUGACACAAAAUGGGCUGAAACUAUUUAGCAAAUCUGGAAUUAAUAGAACAUUAAAAUGACCCCCCCUUUGACUGUAGGUAACUACCAUUUACACUCCGAGAAAUUACCACACAAUCUGUGGAAUUUAAACGUAGUCCUUAGAAUGAGGUAGAGUCAUCUAUAGACCAAGAGACAUACCAAGAACUCUGCCUUUUCACAGAUCCUUCCUCCAUCUCUGGUAGGGAGGUAGUUUUUGAGUGUCAUUUGUCCUAGGAUGUUCUACAUUUAGUGUUAAGAAUUGCUGAUCUGCACGUCUCCUUUGUUAAACUCUAAAUAACAUAUGGUGAAAGUCUUGGGCUUUUCAUGCUUGUACUUCAGUGCCUACCACAUAGUGGGCCUUUUUUGUUUUUUUGCAGUACUGAGAAUUGACACAGGUCCUCUGCAUGCUGGGCAAGUGCUGUAGCCCUGAGCUACAUCCCCA